Molecule: ribosomal RNA, 520 nt
Filed under: uncultured bacterium
Lineage: Bacteria
Description: bacterial SSU rRNA
Rfam family: Bacterial small subunit ribosomal RNA
Source: RNAcentral
GGGAACAUACCCUUUUCUACGGAAUAGCUCUGGGAAACUGGAAUUAAUACCGUAUACGCCCUACGGGGGAAAGAUUUAUCGGGGAAGGAUUGGCCCGCGUUGGAUUAGCUAGUUGGUGGGGUAAAGGCCUACCAAGGCGACGAUCCAUAGCUGGUCUGAGAGGAUGAUCAGCCACAUUGGGACUGAGACACGGCCCAAACUCCUACGGGAGGCAGCAGUGGGGAAUAUUGGACAAUGGGCGCAAGCCUGAUCCAGCCAUGCCGCGUGAGUGAUGAAGGCCUUAGGGUUGUAAAGCUCUUUCACCGAUGAAGAUAAUGACGGUAGUCGGAGAAGAAGCCCCGGCUAACUUCGUGCCAGCAGCCGCGGUAAUACGAAGGGGGCUAGCGUUGUUCGGAAUUACUGGGCGUAAAGCGCACGUAGGCGGAUAUUUAAGUCAGGGGUGAAAUCCCAGAGCUCAACUCCGGAACUGCCUUUGAUACUGGGUAUCUUGAGUAUGGAAGAGGUAAGUGGAAUUGCGAGU